This 301-nucleotide ribosomal RNA is filed under the name uncultured bacterium. RNAcentral describes it as "partial 16S ribosomal RNA". It matches the Rfam family "Bacterial small subunit ribosomal RNA", at positions 509 to 807 of the family's 1533-position model. The record is from RNAcentral.
CAGCAGCCGCGGGAAAACGGAGGGGGCUAGCGUUGUUCGGAAUUACUGGGCGUAAAGCGCACGUAGGCGGCUUUGUAAGUUAGAGGUGAAAGCCCGGAGCUCAACUCCGGAAUUGCCUUUAAGACUGCAUCGCUCGAAUCCAGGAGAGGUGAGUGGAAUUCCGAGUGUAGAGGUGAAAUUCGUAGAUAUUCGGAAGAACACCAGUGGCGAAGGCGGCUCACUGGACUGGUAUUGACGCUGAGGUGCGAAAGCGUGGGGAGCAAACAGGAUUAGAUACCCCUGUAGUCCAUGUCUCUUAUAC